UAAGAAAUUUAGGAUAAUAUUAAACCAAGAGCCUUCAAAGCUCAAAAUACGGGUGAAACCCCCAUAAUUUCU
This 72-nucleotide transfer RNA is filed under the name Anolis coelestinus (Hispaniolan green anole). RNAcentral describes it as "tRNA-Trp". It matches the Rfam family "tRNA". From Rfam's summary of the family: Transfer RNA (tRNA) molecules are approximately 80 nucleotides in length. Their secondary structure includes four short double-helical elements and three loops (D, anti-codon, and T loops). The record is from RNAcentral. Lineage: Eukaryota; Metazoa; Chordata; Lepidosauria; Squamata; Anolidae.